This 746-nucleotide long non-coding RNA is filed under the name Neodiprion lecontei (redheaded pine sawfly). RNAcentral describes it as "uncharacterized LOC124293885". The record is from RNAcentral. Lineage: Eukaryota; Metazoa; Arthropoda; Insecta; Hymenoptera; Diprionidae.
UACUGGUGUUUGCUUGAAACAGAAUUUCGGAAAAUUUGCAUCCGGACUUACCCGUCCUGAUUCGGUACUUACAGAAAUUGUUUCACCGCUUGUUCAAAUGUUUUUACCUACCCUUUUACAUAAAAAUCUGCAGGAUAAACUUUAACCGUGAGAACGACUAAUUCUCAAUGACAAGUUCAAAUGAAGACAAUUAACACCAAUUGUCGGACUAAUCCACCUUUCAAGCAAUCAUCCCAAAAUACCGUGCGUUCUCUGCGAAAAUCGGUAGUCGCCGGCAGCCACGCAACUGGCGAACACAUUUUUGCCCCGCAAUAGCCGACGUGCGAAGGGUAGACACGAUUUUGUACAGUCGGGUAUAACGAAGCGGUAGGGGAACGGCGGAAUGAAACACCUUGAAAAAGUGUCACGGAGUGUACGAGUACAGAACCACAUCGGAACACUUGAAGGAUUAAAUUUCAUGGAAUGGAUAAGUCUUAUCGUGUUAUCCGAGAAUUGUCGUUCAUCGUGUUAUUCGAUCAUCCAUAAUGCUGUAUGUGCCGUGUUGACCUUGAGAUCGGUAAUUACCUGUCAGCAACUGGUUGAGUCAACGCGUAGAUAGAUUAAAAUAAUAUUAGUGUGAAAUACUACGUCUGUAAUGAUUUAACGUCGUUGUUCAAAGUUUCAAGUACGACUGUAUAUUUUAUAAGUCAGAUACUAGUGCAUAUCAUCUGAAACACUGUUCGAUGAAUGUUGACGGGUUCUGUCAC